AUGUUUCAUUUUCUUUGUGCUUUUCAGUUUUCUUACAGUCUUACAUUACAUUUGGAAUCAGUAAAGACAAAAAACCCAACUGCUAUUGUUUUCACGAAUGGUACUGAUGAAACCUUGCACCACAAAGAGUCAAGGCCGGGAAGACUGUCCUUCUGCCAGUGGACAGAUCCCUGUUGAGACCCAUCGGCUCACCGGACACCCCAUUAUUACUGCCGCCUGAUCCCCCAUCAUUGUUCCCUUUCUACCUCGUGACACAUCCCAACGCUUGGUAUCUGCGUCAUCUUUGAACAUUCUCACGUCCUUCAGCAUGCAGCUGUGUCUUUGGAGUCUGCCUCUUUCCCUGUAUCACCCUCUGCCCUUGCACUUGGCUCGGGUGCACGGGUCCUAAGCUUGGUACAGACACUAACUCACUCCUUGUCUGCCACAUGUGGCCACAAAUGAUCAACCUCGCUCCUGUGGAACACUGUGGCCAAAAACCCAAUCUUGAAAAAGACACUUGUGACAAAUUCAUUUUGGACUUCCUGUAUCAUUAUUAAAACGGUGGUCAACAGUCAGUCUACACAAUUUGAGAUGCACCUUGAUGUAAAAAAAUGUUUCCAAAAAGUUGAGGAUAAAUGAAAUGUUGAUAAAUUUAUUCUCAACUGUUUAGUGUACACUUCUCAUUUUAGUAAGUCUGUACUUAGAAUUUGGGGAAAUUAACUUACUCAUAAGUGAAUUUAGCAUGGGAAAGAAAACACAUAAGUACAACAUUGGUAGAUUACAAGUGACAAAUGUUUGAAGAAUGAAUGAGCAAGCGAAUGAAUGCAUUGGUGUUACUGGGCAAAAACAAUAAAUGAAAUAUUGGAUACUAUGGCAUGUAAGCAUAUAUACAGUUUUUAAUGAUAAAAGGAUGGUGUUUAUUUGGUAGAAACCACACCAGGAAUAAUGUUAUACAGUCAAUAUAAUCUCAGUGUAUAACCCUGUAAAUGUGAAGAAGCUUAAGUGUACUAGCCACUGGAUGAAGGCUAUUAUAGGUCAUUUUUAUAUACUUUAUAUUUUCUGUAUUUUCUACCUUUUCAAUAAGCACAUAUUACUAUUAAAAGACACUAUUUUCAAAAUGGUAUAGGCACUAAGUUCUACGAGUGCCAAAGAAAGACAUGACUUUGGACCACAGCACAUUGGGAGGGCUUCUUGGGUGAGUGAAUUCUGAGCGGAGUAAUGCAGAUAGGAUUGGAAGGAAAAUGGUAAAGCGUUUAGGUGGGUAACCGGCCAGGAUUGAGGAGAUAUCAAAUGAUAUUUUAAGUAUAAUUCUGUAUUAUUUUUGAAUGGACUUUCGUAAAGACAACCAUUGCCCUCACAGUGGGCAGUUACUUUGUGUGUUUACAGUGGGUGACAAUCCGGCUAGGGAUGAAUCAGUCUGGCCCAGCUUUUCCAUCAUAGUAAAGGACAAGCAGUACAUCACCCCAAGAGCCUCGGAGGCAUAAUGUAAAGUAUUCCUGAAAGCAUAGUAUUAUCUGUCUUAUUUUAUCUUAAAAUCUGCAUUAUUUGACUUCUGUUCCUAUACCUAUGUAUUUGUGUUAAGAUAUAAAUAAUGCUCUUUUCAUUUCAAACUACUGGGAUCACAGUAGGAAAAAAAACACUCUCCUAGGAAAUCAUGCCAUUCCUGUCUCAUGACUUCAAUAUCCUACUGAUAUACUAGUCAAGCUUCUCUAGGUAUAUGCUCUUUUGAGAAGAAUCAGACUGAUGGUUAUUAUAGCUUCAAAAAGUUAAUUACUAAUACUGAGUUUUUAAAAAGCAGUGCACAUUUCAUUUGCUUCCAUAAACAGUCAUGAAAAACAAACUGUUCAGCAAAAGCAAGGUGAGUACAAGCCAGAAAACAAACCUAGGGAUUCGCAAAUUUCUAUUUAGGAGAAAGUUGACCAUACCCGACAUAUUUGUUCAAACGAUUUGAAUUGCCUGUGUCUUGAUUAUAAAAUGCCUCUCUGACCCCUUGCCUUUUCCUGUGGCCACUUCUACUGUCCGAUGUUGAAUUUAAGAUUUGGGACAUGUGUGCAGAUAUAAAAUGCCAAGUUUAGAUAAGUGCACAUUGAUAUAUGGGAAAGAGGACAGAAAGGAAAUUGACGAAAACACAUGAUACUUUUUGCUUCUGCUUUCUACAGGAGUGGCCAGUCCCCUCUAUGGCAUUUUCGUGCUGGUGUUUCAGACACCCAAGAAUCUGAAUAAAAAUUUUAGGAUACUUGGGCCCAGCCAGAGGAAGCAAGGACUGGGUGAAAUGCUCUGUAUGGUAAAGAAAAAUGGAAUUUUGAAUUUACAAGAAGACCAAGAGUCAAAAUGAGGUACCCUGAGAACACAUUAAAGAUUUUAACAAAACUGACGAGUGUCUAAUGUGAGAGUGGCCUAGGAAAAGACUGGAAAGCCAAGGCUUACAGGGGAACUAAACAGUGAGAAAAUCCUGAUCAUAUGAUAGAGUUCAGGGUUUGGCAUUUUUCUUCUGAAGGACCAGAUAGUAAGUCUUGGUCUGUGUAGCUUCUACUCAAUUCUGCUGUUAGAGCAUGAAAGCAGCCAUAAAUAGGCUAACAGUGGGGGAGGCUGGGUUCCAAUACCUAUAUUUACAAAACAGUCACUUUUUAGUCCAUUGAUUUCUAAUAUUCACUUCUACGUGUGUGCCACUUCGGUACACAUAGUUUGGUAAUUUCCCUUUUCACCCCGGUCCUGUAGCAAACAGCUAAACAGUGACCACCCAACAGCUAUGGUAGUAGGCUGGUACUUUGACUAGGUGGCAUGCAGGGAUGAGGUGUGGUGACAAGCCCCUGUUGGGGAGGACAGGAAACAGGAAGGAGAGAGCAGUCCUAGGAGACCUGGUGAGGCAGAGAAUUCAGUGGGAGCCAGAAAGCAGGGGGAGGUAAAUGCGAAGUCUCCACAGGAUCCCCAGGUGAUCCUGCACAUUUAAGGGAAGGGGGAGCCA
RNAcentral lists this long non-coding RNA (2944 nucleotides) under Lynx canadensis (Canada lynx). RNAcentral's name for it is "lncRNA (ENSLCNG00005017481.1)". Lineage: Eukaryota; Metazoa; Chordata; Mammalia; Carnivora; Felidae. The record is from RNAcentral.